RNAcentral lists this ribosomal RNA (1387 nucleotides) under Haploginglymus sp. 1 SB-2021. Its description in RNAcentral is "partial 28S ribosomal RNA". It matches the Rfam family "Eukaryotic large subunit ribosomal RNA", at positions 1352 to 2180 of the family's 3401-position model. Lineage: Eukaryota; Metazoa; Arthropoda; Malacostraca; Amphipoda; Niphargidae. The record is from RNAcentral.
UCGGUGGCAGUAAAGGCUUCAGCAUGAUNUAUGCCAGAACCAUAAGUCUCUAAGCCCCGACGAGUAGGGUGGCGUGCCGGUGAGCGGAGAAGGCCAAGACGUGAGUCAGGCUGGAGCCGCCGGUAUUGCAGAUCUUGGUGGUAGUAGCAAGUACUCUGGUGAACUAACCUGGAGCUGUGAGGUCUGGAUUAGGGUUCCAUGUCAACAGUGAUUGAACAUGGGUGAGUCGAACCUAAGCCAACUGUGAACGCAGUGACAUCCCGACAAAGGGGCUUUAGUCGCACACGCUCGAACGCUCUAAAGUAUAUCUCUCUCUAUAGAAUAGACACUAGUACACUACGCAGUGUGUGUCUAUGAUGGACGGACUGUUAAUCGCGCUUGCCUCCACAGAAAUGUGUUGGUGCGCAUGAUACGCUCUCAUUCGCGCUUUCCUCCACAGAAAUGUGUUGGUGCGCAUGAUCAAUCGCGCUUUCCUCCACACACAGAGAUGUGUGUGUUGGUGCGUCGGGACGGCUCUUUGAUACGCUNNNNNNNNNNNNNNNNNNNGACGGAACGGAUAAGUGGUGCAUGUACCAGAGAGAGAUAGAAAUAGAGCUUAGGGCACGCGAUGCCUCCUGAGUUGGUUCUUCAUGUCCGGCGAAAGGGAAUGGGGACUUUGUUCCUUGACCGGUCUCGGCACCCUCGAUAGGCUCUGCCAAUCAAUGGUCCAUGCAAAUGGAACCAGGCUGCAGCCGCCGGCAGUCGCCCGAGGAAGAGUUUUCUUUUCUGCUUAACGCACGAGAUCAUCCCUGGAAACAGUUCGGCUGGCGAAAGGGUGCCCCGUUGCGGCAGAGCGCCACGACUGUCGUGCGCGUCUCGGUGUACCUGCCGGUCCGUGAAGACGUGGUCGAGGGGAUUGCUUGUAUCAACGAAACGCCCGACAAGUUCGGGACGGACCGUACCCUAUAUCCGCAUCUGGUCUCCAAGGUUAGUAGCCUCUGCAGAGUCAGACACAUGUAGGUAAGGGAAGUCGGCAAAUUCGAUCCGUAACUUCGGGAAAAGGAUUGGCUCUGAGGGCCGAGCUGGGCCGGGCCUUGCCUGCAAAGCAGUACCUAUAGUGACCGGAGUUUCAGGGGUGCGAGGGGCUCUAGUAGCUGUCGGCGUCUCGGCGUCGGCACGAACGGGUCUACCGCUCCGCUCCAACCACGAACGGCUGUGACGGCAAGGGCUCUGGGCGGGAGCGAUCGUGCCGUUUGCCCCUCCUCCAGCUCGUCUGGGUGGUGGUGGCGGCGGUGCUCCGUCUGACCCAUACGGCUCCAGCGGCUAGCGGCUAACUCAGAACUGUCAUGGACCAAGGGAAUCCGACUGUCUAAUUAAAACAAAGCGUCGUGACGGCCCCUGUUGGGUG